This 705-nucleotide ribosomal RNA is filed under the name uncultured bacterium. Its description in RNAcentral is "bacterial SSU rRNA". It matches the Rfam family "Bacterial small subunit ribosomal RNA", at positions 79 to 780 of the family's 1533-position model. The record is from RNAcentral.
CUUGCUUCUCUUGAGAGCGGCUGACGGGUGAGUAAUGCCUAGGAAUCUGCCUGGUAGUGGGGGAUAACGUCCGGAAACGGACGCUAAUACCGCAUACGUCCUACGGGAGAAAGCAGGGGACCUUCGGGCCUUGCGCUAUCAGAUGAGCCUAGGUCGGAUUAGCUAGUUGGUGGGGUAAUGGCUCACCAAGGCGACGAUCCGUAACUGGUCUGAGAGGAUGAUCAGUCACACUGGAACUGAGACACGGUCCAGACUCCUACGGGAGGCAGCAGUGGGGAAUAUUGGACAAUGGGCGAAAGCCUGAUCCAGCCAUGCCGCGUGUGUGAAGAAGGUCUUCGGAUUGUAAAGCACUUUAAGUUGGGAGGAAGGGCAGUAAAUUAAUACUUUGCUGUUUUGACGUUACCGACAGAAUAAGCACCGGCUAACUCUGUGCCAGCAGCCGCGGUAAUACAGAGGGUGCAAGCGUUAAUCGGAAUUACUGGGCGUAAAGCGCGCGUAGGUGGUUCGUUAAGUUGGAUGUGAAAUCCCCGGGCUCAACCUGGGAACUGCAUUCAAAACUGACGAGCUAGAGUAUGGUAGAGGGUGGUGGAAUUUCCUGUGUAGCGGUGAAAUGCGUAGAUAUAGGAAGGAACACCAGUGGCGAAGGCGACCACCUGGACUGAUACUGACACUGAGGUGCGAAAGCGUGGGGAGCAAACAGGAUUA